UACGUAGGGGGCAAGCGUUGUCCGGAAUUAUUGGGCGUAAAGAGCGUGUAGGCGGCCAGAUAAGUCCGCUGUGAAAUCUCGAGGCUCAACUUCGAGCUGUCGGUGGAAACUAUCUGGCUAGAGUCCGGAAGAGGAGAAUGGAAUUCCUGGUGUAGCGGUGAAAUGCGCAGAUAUCAGGAAGAACACCCGUGGCGAAGGCGGUUCUCUGGGACGGUACUGACGCCGAGACGCGAAAGCGUGGGGAGCAAACAGG
RNAcentral lists this ribosomal RNA (253 nucleotides) under uncultured bacterium. Its description in RNAcentral is "partial 16S ribosomal RNA". It matches the Rfam family "Bacterial small subunit ribosomal RNA", at positions 524 to 776 of the family's 1533-position model. The record is from RNAcentral.